AGAGAGAGACAUGCGCGCAUAUCAAUAAGCGGAGGAAAAGAAACUAACAAGGAUUCUCUUAGUAACGGCGAGUGAAGCGGGAAGAGCUCAAAUUUGAAAUCUUCAAGGUUCUACCUUGACGAAUUGUAGUUUAUAGAAGUGGUUUCUGUUAGUGGAGUGGUAAAAGUUCUUUGGAAUAGGACAUCAUAGAGGGUGAGAAUCCCGUAUUUGGUCAUUCCUCCUAGCGUUGUGAUACACUUUCAACGAGUCGGAUUGUUUGGGAAUGCAGUCCAAAAUGGGUGGUAAAUUUCAUCUAAAGCUAAAUAUUGGCGAGAGACCGAUAGCGAACAAGUACCGUGAGGGAAAGAUGAAAAGAACUUUGAAAAGAGAGUUAAACAGUACGUGAAAUUGUCAAAAGGGAAGCGUUUGACACCAGUGUUGUUUUUCCGAAAAUCAAUUACGAAUGUUUUGUUUUUGAGGAGUUAUGACUUCAUCGGCUUGCUCCUUUCUUUACGAAACUUUCUUAAUGCACCUUUCGGUUAACAAGUCAACAUCAAUUUCUUUUGUUGUAAAAGGGUAUGAGGAAGGUGGCUUUCUUUUCGGAGAAAGUGUUUAUAGCCUCUUAACCUCUGCAAUCGGAGAGAUUGAGGUCUGCAGCGUAGAUCCUUCGGGGUUAGAUACAUUUGUGCUAAGUUAUAGCUUUUCAUAGACAACUUGUUGACUAUGUUUAGUCUUGUAGCUUACUCGCUGACGCUAUUUUACCUACGCUUAGGAUGUUGAUAGUCACAGCGUGUAC
This 775-nucleotide ribosomal RNA is filed under the name uncultured Neocallimastigales. RNAcentral describes it as "partial large subunit ribosomal RNA". It matches the Rfam family "Eukaryotic large subunit ribosomal RNA", at positions 23 to 644 of the family's 3401-position model. The record is from RNAcentral. Lineage: Eukaryota; Fungi; Neocallimastigomycota; Neocallimastigomycetes; Neocallimastigales.